GAUUGAACGCUGGCGGUAUGCUUAACACAUGCAAGUCGAACGGAAACGAUACUAGCUUGCUAGUAGGCGUCGAGUGGCGGACGGGUGAGUAACGCGUAGGAAUCUACCUGAUAGUGGGGGAUAGCCCGAAGAAAUUCGGAUUAAUACCGCAUAAUCUAUUCGUAGUAAAGUGGGGGACUUUCGAGCCUCACGCUAUCAGAUGAGCCUGCGUAAGAUUAGCUAGUUGGUAGGGUAAAAGCCUACCAAGGCGACGAUCUUUAGCUGGUCUGAGAGGAUGAUCAGCCACAUCGGGACUGAGACACGGCCCGAACUCCUACGGGAGGCAGCAGUGGGGAAUAUUGGACAAUGGGGGCAACCCUGAUCCAGCAAUACCGCGUGUGUGAAGAAGGCCUGAGGGUUGUAAAGCACUUUCAAUUGUGAAGAAAAGCUAGUGGUUAAUAGUCAUUAGCCUUGACGUUAACUUUAGAAGAAGCACCGGCUAACUCCGUGCCAGCAGCCGCGGUAAUACGGAGGGUGCAAGCGUUAAUCGGAAUUACUGGGCGUAAAGCGUGCGUAGGCGGUUUAUUAAGUCAGAUGUGAAAGCCCCGGGCUUAACCUGGGAACUGCAUUUGAAACUGGUCAACUAGAGUAUGGUAGAGGAAAGUGGAAUUUCUGGUGUAGCGGUGAAAUGCGUAGAUAUCAGAAGGGAACAUCAAUGGCCGAAGGCAACUUUCUGGACCAAUACUGACGCUGAGGUACGAAAGCGUGGGUAGCAAACAGGAUUAGAUACCUGGUAGUCCACGCCGUAAACGAUGAUAACUAGCCGUUGGGGGGAUUUACCCCUUUAGUGGCGAAGCUAACGCGUUAAGUUAUCCGCCUGGGGAGUACGGCCGCAAGGUUAAAACUCAAAGGAAUUGACGGGGACCCGCACAAGCGGUGGAGCAUGUGGUUUAAUUCGAUGCAACGCGAAGAACCUUACCUGGUCUUGACAUCCUGAGAACUUUCUAGAAAUAGAUUGGUGCCUUCGGGAACUCAGUGACAGGUGCUGCAUGGCUGUCGUCAGCUCGUGUCGUGAGAUGUUGGGUUAAGUCCCGUAACGAGCGCAACCCCUAUCCUUAUUUGCCAGCACAUCAUGGUGGGAACUAUAAGGAGACUGCCGGUGAUAAACCGGAGGAAGGCGGGGACGACGUCAAGUCAUCAUGGCCCUUAUGGGUAGGGCUACACACGUGCUACAAUGGGAAGGACAAAGAGCCGCGAAGCCGCGAGGUGUAGCUAAUCUCAGAAACCUUUUCGUAGUCCGGAUUGGAGUCUGCAACUCGACUCCAUGAAGUCGGAAUCGCUAGUAAUCGUAGAUCAGAAUGCUACGGUGAAUACGUUCCCGGGUCUUGUACACACCG
This 1376-nucleotide ribosomal RNA is filed under the name uncultured marine bacterium. Its description in RNAcentral is "bacterial SSU rRNA". It matches the Rfam family "Bacterial small subunit ribosomal RNA", at positions 27 to 1392 of the family's 1533-position model. The record is from RNAcentral.